RNAcentral lists this small RNA (100 nucleotides) under Rhodobacteraceae bacterium SB2. RNAcentral describes it as "Methylobacterium-1 RNA". It matches the Rfam family "Methylobacterium-1 RNA". The record is from Rfam by way of RNAcentral. Lineage: Bacteria; Pseudomonadati; Pseudomonadota; Alphaproteobacteria; Rhodobacterales; Paracoccaceae.
CAAGAUGGAAAUGGUGCAUAAAGAUUAUCCAUUGGAUGGAAGAACCGAAUUCCAGGUAACGAAGCUAUUAUCCAAUCAGUACUUUGUUACUCCCGUAGUU